This 65-nucleotide transfer RNA is filed under the name Dipodomys ordii (Ord's kangaroo rat). It matches the Rfam family "tRNA". Rfam says of the family: Transfer RNA (tRNA) molecules are approximately 80 nucleotides in length. Their secondary structure includes four short double-helical elements and three loops (D, anti-codon, and T loops). Further hydrogen bonds mediate the characteristic L-shaped molecular structure. tRNAs have two regions of fundamental functional importance: the anti-codon, which is responsible for specific mRNA codon recognition, and the 3' end, to which the tRNAs corresponding amino acid is attached (by aminoacyl-tRNA synthetases). tRNAs cope with the degeneracy of the genetic code in two manners: having more than one tRNA (with a specific anti-codon) for a particular amino acid; and 'wobble' base-pairing, i.e. permitting non-standard base-pairing at the 3rd anti-codon position. Lineage: Eukaryota; Metazoa; Chordata; Mammalia; Rodentia; Heteromyidae. The record is from Rfam by way of RNAcentral.
GGUGGUUCAGUGAUAGAGCGCAUGCCUUGCAUGCAUGAGGCCCUGGGUUCCAUUCCUCAGCACCA